RNAcentral lists this transfer RNA (74 nucleotides) under Oligella sp. HMSC09E12. Its description in RNAcentral is "tRNA-Gly". It matches the Rfam family "tRNA". From Rfam's summary of the family: Transfer RNA (tRNA) molecules are approximately 80 nucleotides in length. Their secondary structure includes four short double-helical elements and three loops (D, anti-codon, and T loops). Further hydrogen bonds mediate the characteristic L-shaped molecular structure. tRNAs have two regions of fundamental functional importance: the anti-codon, which is responsible for specific mRNA codon recognition, and the 3' end, to which the tRNAs corresponding amino acid is attached (by aminoacyl-tRNA synthetases). tRNAs cope with the degeneracy of the genetic code in two manners: having more than one tRNA (with a specific anti-codon) for a particular amino acid; and 'wobble' base-pairing, i.e. permitting non-standard base-pairing at the 3rd anti-codon position. The record is from RNAcentral. Lineage: Bacteria; Pseudomonadati; Pseudomonadota; Betaproteobacteria; Burkholderiales; Alcaligenaceae.
GCGGGCUUGACCGAUUGGCUAGGUGGCUGCCUUCCAAGCAGUUAAAAAGGGUUCGAUUCCCUUAGUCCGCUCCA